This 105-nucleotide small nuclear RNA is filed under the name Catagonus wagneri (Chacoan peccary). The record is from RNAcentral. Lineage: Eukaryota; Metazoa; Chordata; Mammalia; Artiodactyla; Tayassuidae.
GUGCUCUCUUCAGCAGCACGUAUACUAAAAUUAGAGCGAUGUAGAAAAGAUUAGCAUGGUCCCUGUGCAAGGAUGACGUGAAUUGGUGAAGAGUUCCAUAUUUAA